RNAcentral lists this ribosomal RNA (427 nucleotides) under uncultured Vibrio sp. Its description in RNAcentral is "bacterial SSU rRNA". It matches the Rfam family "Bacterial small subunit ribosomal RNA", at positions 353 to 772 of the family's 1533-position model. The record is from RNAcentral. Lineage: Bacteria; Pseudomonadati; Pseudomonadota; Gammaproteobacteria; Vibrionales; Vibrionaceae.
AGUGGGGAAUAUUGCACAAUGGGCGCAAGCCUGAUGCAGCCAUGCCGCGUGUAUGAAGAAGGCCUUCGGGUUGUAAAGUACUUUCAGCAGUGAGGAAGGCGGGUGUGUUAAUAGCACAUUCGUUUGACGUUAGCUGCAGAAGAAGCACCGGCUAACUCCGUGCCAGCAGCCGCGGUAAUACGGAGGGUGCGAGCGUUAAUCGGAAUUACUGGGCGUAAAGCGCAUGCAGGUGGUGUGUUAAGUCAGAUGUGAAAGCCCGGGGCUCAACCUCGGAAUAGCAUUUGAAACUGGCAGACUAGAGUACUGUAGAGGGGGGUAGAAUUUCAGGUGUAGCGGUGAAAUGCGUAGAGAUCUGAAGGAAUACCGGUGGCGAAGGCGGCCCCCUGGACAGAUACUGACACUCAGAUGCGAAAGCGUGGGGAGCAAA